UUCAAUAAUGAUAAGAUUUAAUU
Molecule: small nuclear RNA, 23 nt
Filed under: Arabidopsis thaliana (thale cress)
Lineage: Eukaryota; Viridiplantae; Streptophyta; Magnoliopsida; Brassicales; Brassicaceae
Description: snRNA_07356
Source: RNAcentral